CACGUAGGGCGCAAGCGUUGUCCGGAAUCAUUGGGCGUAAAGAGCGUGUAGGCGGCCACUUAAGUCCUGCGUGAAAUCUUGCGGCUCAACCGCAAGCGGUCGUGGGAAACUGGGUGGCUAGAGUGCGGGAGAGGAGAGUGGAAUUCCUGGUGUAGCGGUGGAAUGCGCAGAUAUCAGGAAGAACACCCGUGGCGAAGGCGGCUCUCUGGAACGCAACUGACGCUGAGACGCGAAAGCGUGGGGAGCAAACAGG
RNAcentral lists this ribosomal RNA (253 nucleotides) under uncultured bacterium. Its description in RNAcentral is "partial 16S ribosomal RNA". It matches the Rfam family "Bacterial small subunit ribosomal RNA", at positions 524 to 776 of the family's 1533-position model. The record is from RNAcentral.